GAUGAACGCUGGCGGCGUGCCUAAUACAUGCAAGUCGAACGCUGGAAAUCUAGCUUGCUAGAUUGAAGGAGUGGCGAACGGGUGAGUAAUACAUAAGCAACCUACCCACGAAGACUGGGAUAAUCUCUGGAAACGGGGACUAAUACCGGAUAGGUAAUCGGAAGGCAUCUUCUGAUUAUUAAAGGUUAAAAACACUGGUGGAUGGGCUUAUGGCGCAUUAGUUAGUUGGUGAGGUAACGGCCCACCAAGACGAUGAUGCGUAGCCGGCCUGAGAGGGUGAACGGCAACAGGGGGAGUGAAACACGCCCAAGCCACCUAGGGGAGGAAGAAGUGGGAAUUUGUGGGAAAGGGGGAAACCCGGAACGGAGCAACCCGGGGGGGGUGAGGACGCCCUUGGGUUUAAAAAGCUUUGUUGAAGGGAAAAAAGGGUAGAAAGAAAAUAUCAAAAGGAGGUACCCUCACAAAAAAGCCCCGGCAAACUCCGGG
RNAcentral lists this ribosomal RNA (486 nucleotides) under uncultured bacterium. RNAcentral's name for it is "partial 16S ribosomal RNA". It matches the Rfam family "Bacterial small subunit ribosomal RNA", at positions 28 to 507 of the family's 1533-position model. The record is from RNAcentral.